AACUUUCAACAACGGAUCUCUUGGCUCUCGCAUCGAUGAAGAACGCAGCGAAAUGCGAUACGUAAUGUGAAUUGCAGAAUUCAGUGAAUCAUCGAAUCUUUGAACGCACCUUGCGCCCCUUGGUAUUCCGAGGGGCACACCCGUUUGAGUGUCGUGAAAACCUCAACCUCCUCGGUUUCUUCUGGACACCGAAGGAGGCUUGGACUUUGGAGGCCUUUGCUGGUGUCUCUCUCUUUUGAAAGCCAGCUCCUCUUAAAUGAAUUAGCGGGGUCCUCAUU
RNAcentral lists this ribosomal RNA (278 nucleotides) under Lactarius zonarius. Its description in RNAcentral is "5.8S ribosomal RNA". The stretch from base 1 to 154 matches the Rfam family "5.8S ribosomal RNA". From Rfam's summary of the family: 5.8S ribosomal RNA (5.8S rRNA) is a component of the large subunit of the eukaryotic ribosome. It is transcribed by RNA polymerase I as part of the 45S precursor that also contains 18S and 28S rRNA. The record is from RNAcentral. Lineage: Eukaryota; Fungi; Basidiomycota; Agaricomycetes; Russulales; Russulaceae.